CAGCUGUAAACGAUGCGCGUUAGGUGUAUCGGUGACCACGAGUCACCGAGGUGCCGAAGGGAAACCGUGAAACGUGCCGCCUGGGAAGUACGGUCGCAAGGCUGAAACUUAAAGGAAUUGGCGGGGGGAGCACCGCAACCGGGAGGAGCGUGCGGUUCAAUUGGAUUCAACGCCGGACAACUCACCAGGAGCGACGGUUACAUGAAGGCCAGGCUGAUGACCUCGCCUGAUUUUCCGAGAGGAGGUGCAUGGCGUAGUCGUGU
RNAcentral lists this ribosomal RNA (263 nucleotides) under uncultured archaeon. RNAcentral describes it as "partial 16S ribosomal RNA". It matches the Rfam family "Archaeal small subunit ribosomal RNA", at positions 748 to 1009 of the family's 1478-position model. The record is from RNAcentral.